AGACACAUCGACUAAUUCCAAACUCUAUCACUUUUCCCAUACCUGGGACAGUGAUCGAGGGGUGGUCUGUGUGUGUGAAUGGAGUUCCUACUAGCAACACCAGAACAACAGUCGAGAUUUUUAGCGGUCCUUAUAGUAACCUUCCAGUCCACACAAGCUGGCGAUUUGCGGGUUACCUGGCAGUCAAUGACAUGGUCAGAGGCUCAUGGGGAACACAGGAGGAUGUGAAGAACCCGCCGUUCCCCUUGGUGGUCGGAAAACCGUUUUUCUUAAGGAUGACAGUGAGAAAUUCCACCAUUGAUAUCUACAUGGACAACGUCUUCUUCAACAGACACUAUCUGAAAUUUCCUCUCUCGUCGUUCUCUCACAUCUACAUCUACGGAGACGUCAACGUGACGAAAGUAGAAACGUGGUGCAAAGAGUGACUGAG
Molecule: long non-coding RNA, 430 nt
Organism: Pomacea canaliculata
Lineage: Eukaryota; Metazoa; Mollusca; Gastropoda; Architaenioglossa; Ampullariidae
Exons: 3
Source: RefSeq, a predicted model, not a curated record